UACGAAGGGAGCAAGCGUUGCUCGGAUUUAUUGGGCGUAAAGGGUGUGUAGGUGGUUUUGUAAGUUAGAUGUGAAAGCCCAGGGCUUAACCCUGGAAUUGCAUUUAAGACUGCAUUACUUGAAGGUCAAAGAGGUAAGCAGAAUUUCCAGUGUAGAGGUGAAAUUCGUAGAUAUUGGAAAGAAUACCGAUGGCGUAGGCAGCUUACUGGUUGACACUUGACACUGAGGCACGAAAAGCGUGGGGGAGCAAACAGG
This 255-nucleotide ribosomal RNA is filed under the name uncultured bacterium. Its description in RNAcentral is "partial 16S ribosomal RNA". It matches the Rfam family "Bacterial small subunit ribosomal RNA", at positions 524 to 776 of the family's 1533-position model. The record is from RNAcentral.